This 874-nucleotide long non-coding RNA is filed under the name Sus scrofa (pig). RNAcentral describes it as "lncRNA (ENSSSCG00025051884.1)". Lineage: Eukaryota; Metazoa; Chordata; Mammalia; Artiodactyla; Suidae. The record is from RNAcentral.
CUUACAGAAAAGCUACUUCAUGGCUAAACUGUAGUUUUAUGAUAUGCAAGUGGACAGUGAGGGUACUUGGGAUUGUAUGAAGGGCAACUGGAGACAUGGAGUCUGGGAACCAAGACUAGAAUGAAUGAGUUGAUGGAAAAGACACUGACCCAGUGAGGAUAUGGCAGAAUUGAAUGUCCUAUUUGGAGACUGGAGCCUGGUAACAAAAACUGAGAAUGCUGCAAAGUCUGAUUUUGGGUCCUGAUAGAAAAACAUGACUCCUUAGGGGAGAACUGGAAGUCACACUUACUCUCUUAGGAAUAUAUGAAUUCUAUGUAUAGAAGACUAACCCAGUUCCCAAAUGUGUGACACUGUCAUCAUCUCCUGAUAUCUACAAGGACAAUAAAGAACCGUUUCCUGAGAAUUAUUCAUGACCUGGGCAAGUUGACAAAGACUCGGCAUCUCAGGCGACAGUCCCCAGGAUAUUCUGAGUGUGAAGAAAGAUGACUCACAGUAAAAAACAUCAUCCACUUGGAUCUGUUUCCUCUGACUUGACAGUUAAAAAGGAUCACUCUUCCUGGUUUGGAUCUUGUAGACCUUGAAGUAAGGUGUGUGAUAAAAACAUGAUAUAAAUUCUUGAGGUCAAUGGCCUAGAAAAUAGUCUCUUAGCUGGUCAGCUUUUGCUGUGAGGGGGUGCCCAAUUUUUUUUUUUUUUAUUUUUUUAAUGGCAUCAAUCAACUUUUGGAAGUUCUGGGAAAGGAAUCCUCAUAAGUGGACAUUCCUCUUCUCUGGCUUUAUCUUUGGUUGAAAUUCUAUGCUUCUGUGGUUUCUCAUCUGAUUUCUAGUCUGUGGCCAUUUCUUAUCUCCUUUGCUAAAGCAAGAAAGGUCUGUGCAA